Molecule: RNA transcript, 3882 nt
Organism: Cuculus canorus (common cuckoo)
Lineage: Eukaryota; Metazoa; Chordata; Aves; Cuculiformes; Cuculidae
Exons: 3
Source: RefSeq, a predicted model, not a curated record
GCCUGGCCAGGAACCUCUGGAGACCCUUGGCCCAUGGAUCCAGAUCUCCUCGCAGCUUUCUGCCCCACCUCGUCCUGCCACCCUUCUCCUCCCCAGUUCAUUUUGCAGGUGUCCAUCACAAAACUGAUCUCCAGGAGCUUCAGCCAAUGUUCAUCACCGUUAAACCUCCGCAGUGCUCCACGAGCAGAAGUGUUGUCCCCAUUCCAACCUUCCUCCGGCGUUGGAUUGGCCACCAGGAGCGGCCGAGGCCUCCUGACACCUGUCCUCUGUGCUCCUCACCGCUCUCCAACCACGGCCUCCUCAGCGGUGGCUUUGGCUCCGGGGAUGGAAACGACCUGGCAGGACCUCUCCGCGUUGAUUGCUCCUCGUUCUCCCGGUUGGAGUCCAUCACCGCUUGGAGAGAAGGUCCGGCAGCUGUGGGAUGCGGCUGCCAAGUCCUCUGCGCGGUGGCCGAGCGGUGGCAGCUCCUCUCCGGCUUUGGGCUCUCCUUCCAGCACCGAGAGCCGAGAUGCAGAGGGCCAAGGUUCUCCAGAGGUUCCUGGCCAGGCUGGAUCAUGGGCCAAGGUUCUCCAGAGGGUCCUGGCCAGGCUGGAUCAUGGGCCAAGGUUCUCCAGAGGUUCCUGGCCAGGCUGGAUCAUGGGGCCAAGGUUCUCCAGGGGUUCCUGGCCAGGCUGGAUCAUGGGGCCAAGGUUCUCCAGAGGGUCCUGGCCAGGCUGGAUCAUGGGCCAAGGUUCUCCAGAGGUUCCUGGCCAGGCUGGAUCAUGGGCCAAGGUUCUCCAGAGGUUCCUGCCCAGGCUGGAUCAUGGGCCAAGGUUCUCCAGAGGGUCCUGGCCAGGCUGGAUCAUGGGCCAAGGUUCUCCAGAGGUCCCUGGCCAGGCUGGAUCAUGGGCCAAGGUUCUCCAGAGGUUCUUGGCCAGGCUGGAUCAUGGGCCAACGGUCUCCAGAGGUUCCUGGCCAGGCUGGAUCACGGGCCAAGGUUCUCCAGAGGUUCCUGGCCAGGCUGGAUCACGGGCCAAGCUUCAAACCGUUGUCCUCGUCCUGUCCCACCACCAGAGCAUCUCCGCACCUUUUCCGGAGGCCCUUUCCCUACUGGAAGCUGCUCUAAGGUCCUCCCCACGACCUUCUCUUCUCCAGACUGCCCCAGCGUGGCCUCCUACGGAAGGUUCUCCAGCCCUGGGAUCAGCUGGGCUGCUCCUGAUCCUUUCUCCACCGGCCUGGCUGGAAACCAUGGAUCCUCCAAGGCAGGUGCAGGACUUUUUCCCAUCUGGGGUUGCGCGGGGACUGGGAAGACGUUGACCUUGAGGGCCAUUCCUGGUCUUGGCCGUGGAGGAAAGCCCCCGGUUGGGUUUCCCGUUUCGUUUCCAAGCAAUGACAUCAAGAAAAGAGGGGGGAGGAGAAACCCAACCGCAGCCUCGUUGCGCUCUUCGGGGCUUCAGAAACUUGGGAAGAGGAGGAGGAGGGGAGAGAGGAGGAGGAGAAACCUGGAGAAGGUGGAGCGGUGGGGCCGGAGGAGGUUCAAGGGCACCGUCGUCGGGAAUGGGUUGGGUGGGGAGGGACCUCCAGGCCCAUCUGCUUCCCCGAGCUGCGGCACUUGGAGCCCCUCCGAGCUUGACCUUCAACGCUUCCCGGGAUGGGGCUUCUCCUCCUUCUCCUUUCUUUUUCUCCCUCCUUUUGUUUCCGAGCCGGAGCUCAUUUCGAACCUUGGCGGAACGCGCUGCAGCUGCUGCGAUGGUCCUUCUCUUUUGAUCCCCGUUAUUAAUGAUCUGCCGGAACAGAUGCGACGCUGACGAGCGCAACGAUUAUUGCUCACCCAGAGCCGUUUGUUCUUCUCCCUCUUCUCCCCCCACUUCUGGAGGAGCUCAGGUGGUUUCGAAGGUCCUCCGCGGUGGGAAAAGAAUGGGAGAAAGACAUUGUUUGCUUUUAUUCCCAAAAUUAGGAUGGACCAACCCGGCCUGGAACCCCUCCGGGAAUGGUGGGAUGGGUUGGAAGGGACUUGAAAGAUCAGGGAAUCAUGGGUUGGGUUGGGAAGGAUCCCAAAGCCCAUCCGGUUCCACACUGGAUCAGGAGCUCCAGGGCCAUCCAACCCGGCCUGGAGGACCUCCAGGGAUGGGGCAGCCACGGCUUCUCCGGGCCUCCCUCACUGAGAACCACUUCCCGAUGUCCAACCUAAACCUUCCCCCUUCCAAUUGAAAGCCUUUUCCCCUCAUCCCACCGCUUGGAAAAACUCUUGGAGGGCUUCAAAAGCCGUGGAGAUGAUGCUUGAGGCCACACUGCCUUUGGAAUGGAGGAUCUUAGGAGGCUUUUCCAACCUCAGCGAUUCUAUCCCAGGAAGGUUUCGGUGUCCCCAUCCCUGGAGGGCUUCAAAAGCCGCUGAGAUGUGGCGCUGAGGGACCCGGUGGGGUUGGAUUGGAUGAUCUUAGGAGGCUUUUCCAACCUCAGCGAUUCUAUCCCAGGAAGGUUUUGGUGUCCCCAUCCCCGGAGGGCUUCAAAAGCCGCCGAGAUGUCGGGGCCGGCGCGGCGGGGGUUAAGCGUCGGCGCUGCCUCCCCUUCGCUCGCCCAUCUGGUGGGAACCCCGCGAGCCAUUUGGAGAUGAAUUUUUUACACGGAAUGCGCGCGGAGAGACGUCUCCAGCGACAACCUCGCCGGACUUGGACGGCGAGGAGGACAUUAAGUAUGGAUGGGCAGGCUGCCGCCGCGCCUUCGCCUCCCCCCCGCUCGCUGCCGGAAUGAUCAGCACAUUCCGGCGGUGGACACUUCGGCUCGAGAAGAACGCGUGGAACUGACGAAGCUCUUUGGCGAAGAGCAAAAUAAACCCUUCUAAGAUCCAUCCCAAAGCCCCAGAGAUGCUUCCGGUGGGUCCCAUCCCCACCUCGGCAAAGACGAUGCCGUGGGAAUAGCGAAAGCCCUCGCAGCUCAUUGCCAUUCCGAGCAGGAACGCCGCUCUCCGUACGGCGCCGGCAUCUGUCAGACCAACAGCUGAAGCUCCGGGAAGACGUUCCCGAGGUUCUUCUCCUCGACAGCGAGGACGGCGUUUGGGGACUUCGGCUGCGAAGCUCCGAGAUGACACAGCUUCUUUUUUCUUCUUCUUCUUUUGUUUCCCAUUUUUCCUUUAUUUUCCUUUCUAGGGAAUUAUUUGGGAGAAUCCUGGAAUGGGGUUGGGUUGGGAGGGACCUCAAAGGUCGUGAGAUCCUGGAAUGGGUUGGAAGGAACCUCAAAGGUCGUGAUUUGAUGAUCUUUUGCUCCUCUGCUUCUCCUCGAGCUCCAGAACGUCCUACGUUGGAAGGGAUCCACAGGGCCCAUGGAGUCCGGCUCCGGACAUGACAACCCCAACGUUCAUUCCAUGAAUCUGAGGGCAUCAUCCGGGUUCUUCUUGGAUAUCGUCAGGCUCAGCGGCCGCUUUGUCCCACGAGCUGUUGGCGCGGUUCCUCUCCAACUGCUCGACUCGGGAGAAGGACCACAGUCGGUGGAGAGCGGUUUGGCUCUUCCGUUCCCAAAUCCUCUUCCAUCUCCAAAGAGGAACACAACCUCUUCCAUCCCCAAAAGCCGAACUCGAGGAGAAGCACCACCUCUUCCACCUCCAAAGCCCACCACAACCUCCUCCACCUCCAAACCCAACGUGUCCACCUGCGCUUUCCCUUCUCCUCCAACCGCUCUCGGAGGAACGGACGCCACCGACGCUCUCCCAACGCCAAAGAGGUGGAACCGGAGGAGAAGGACUCAGUGAGGGGUGGAGAACCUCCAGAGGAACCACCAGUGAGGGCUCCCGGCCCAGAAUCCACCCACAUCCUGGGCUGCGCCCGGAGCCGCACCACCAGCGUGGACACGGAGGAGGUUCUCCUGCUCUGCUCUACUCCAGGAGACCCACCCGGAGCCCUGUUCAGA